This 609-nucleotide ribosomal RNA is filed under the name Paracoccidioides cerebriformis. RNAcentral's name for it is "eukaryotic LSU rRNA". It matches the Rfam family "Eukaryotic large subunit ribosomal RNA", at positions 149 to 773 of the family's 3401-position model. Lineage: Eukaryota; Fungi; Ascomycota; Eurotiomycetes; Onygenales; Ajellomycetaceae. The record is from RNAcentral.
UUUGUAGAGGAUGCUUCGGGUGCGGCCCCUGUCUAAGUGCUCUGGAACGGGCCAUCGGAGAGGGUGAGAAUCCCGUCUGGGACGGGGUGUCCGUGUCCGUGUGAAGCUCCUUCGACGAGUCGAGUUGUUUGGGAAUGCAGCUCUAAAUGGGUGGUAAAUUUCAUCUAAAGCUAAAUACAGGCCGGAGACCGAUAGCGCACAAGUAGAGUGAUCGAAAGAUGAAAAGCACUUUGAAAAGAGAGUUAAACAGCACGUGAAAUUGUUGAAAGGGAAGCACUUGCAACCAGACUCGCCCACGGGGUUCAGCCGGCUUUCGGGCCGGUGUACUUCCCCGGGGGCGGGGCAGCGUCGGUUUGGGCGGCCGGUUAAAGGCCCCCGGAAUGUAACACCCCUCGGGGUGUCUUAUAGCCGGGGGUGCCAUGCGGCCAGCCCAGACCGAGGAACGCGCUUCGGCACGGACGCUGGCAUAAUGGUUGCAAAUGACCCGUCUUGAAACACGGACCAAGGAGUCUAACAUCUACGCGAGUGUUCGGGUGGCAAACCCGUGCGCGAAGUGAAAGCGAACGGAGGUGGGAGCCCCCUCGAGGGGCGCACCAUCGACCGAUCCUG